CCUACGGGCGGCUGCAGUGGGGAAUAUUGGACAAUGGGGGCAACCCUGAUCCAGCCAUGCCGCGUGUGUGAAGAAGGCCCUCGGGUUGUAAAGCACUUUCAGUGAGGAAGAACGCCUGGUGGUUAAUACCCAUCAGGAAAGACAUCACUCACAGAAGAAGCACCGGCUAACUCCGUGCCAGCAGCCGCGGUAAUACGGAGGGUGCGAGCGUUAAUCGGAAUUACUGGGCGUAAAGCGCGCGUAGGUGGCUUGAUAAGCCGGUUGUGAAAGCCCCGGGCUCAACCUGGGAACGGCAUCCGGAACUGUCAAGCUAGAGGGCAGGAGAGGAAGGUAGAAUUCCCGGUGUAGCGGUGAAAUGCGUAGAGAUCGGGAGGAAUACCAGUGGCGAAGGCGGCCUUCUGGACUGACACUGACACUGAGGUGCGAAAGCGUGGGUAGCAAACAGGAUUAGAUACCCCUGUAGUC
This 465-nucleotide ribosomal RNA is filed under the name Vreelandella stevensii. RNAcentral's name for it is "partial 16S ribosomal RNA". It matches the Rfam family "Bacterial small subunit ribosomal RNA", at positions 338 to 795 of the family's 1533-position model. Lineage: Bacteria; Pseudomonadati; Pseudomonadota; Gammaproteobacteria; Oceanospirillales; Halomonadaceae. The record is from RNAcentral.